GCUUUCCUGUGGCUCAGUUGGUAGAGCAUUAACAAAACAAGGGUCCUGGGUUCAAAUCCCAGGGAAUGCA
Molecule: non-coding RNA, 70 nt
Organism: Danionella cerebrum
Lineage: Eukaryota; Metazoa; Chordata; Actinopteri; Cypriniformes; Danionidae
Source: the annotation of a GenBank genome assembly